GACGAACGCUGGCGGCGUGCUUAACACAUGCAAGUCGAACGGAAAGGCCCUGCUUUUGUGGGGUUCUCGAGUGGCGAACGGGUGAGUAACACAUGAGUAACCUGCCCUUUGCUUUAGGAUAACUUCAGGAAACUGGGGCUAAUACCGGAGAGGAGCUCCUGCUGCAUGGGGGUGUUUGGAAAGUUUCGGCGGUUGGGGAUGGACUCGCGGCUUAUCAGCUUGUUGGUUGGGUAGCUGCUUACCAGGGCUUUGACGGGUAGCCGGCCUGGGAGGGUGAACGGCCACAUUGGGACUGAGGUACGGACCAGACUCCUACGGGAGGCAGCAGUGGAGAAUAUUGCACAAUGGGCGGAAGUCUGAUGAAGCAACGCCGCGUGCGGGAUGACGGCCUUCGGGUUGUAAACCGCUUUAGCCUGUGACGAAGCGGGAGUGACGGUAAUGGGUAAAGAAGCACCGGCUAACUACGUG
This 468-nucleotide ribosomal RNA is filed under the name uncultured bacterium. RNAcentral describes it as "partial 16S ribosomal RNA". It matches the Rfam family "Bacterial small subunit ribosomal RNA", at positions 28 to 507 of the family's 1533-position model. The record is from RNAcentral.